Molecule: ribosomal RNA, 424 nt
Filed under: uncultured prokaryote
Description: bacterial SSU rRNA
Rfam family: Bacterial small subunit ribosomal RNA
Source: RNAcentral
UGGGGAAUCUUGCACAAUGGGCGCAAGCCUGAUGCAGCCAUGCCGCGUGAGUGAAGAAGGCCCUAGGGUUGUAAAACUCUUUCAGCGGGGAAGAUAAUGACGGUACCCGCAGAAGAAGCACCGGCUAACUCCGUGCCAGCAGCCGCGGUAAUACGGAGGGUGCGAGCGUUAAUCGGAAUUACUGGGCGUAAAGCGCGCGUAGGCGGUUUGUUAAGUCGGAUGUGAAAGCCCCGGGCUCAACCUGGGAAUUGCACCCGAUACUGGCCGACUGGAGUGCGAGAGAGGGAGGUAGAAUUCCACGUGUAGCGGUGAAAUGCGUAGAUAUGUGGAGGAAUACCGGUGGCGAAGGCGGCCUCCUGGCUCGACACUGACGCUGAGGUGCGAAAGCGUGGGGAGCAAACAGGAUUAGAUACCCGGGUAGUCC